Molecule: long non-coding RNA, 936 nt
Filed under: Olea europaea subsp. europaea
Lineage: Eukaryota; Viridiplantae; Streptophyta; Magnoliopsida; Lamiales; Oleaceae
Source: RNAcentral
CGUUGUCGGAGCUUUAAGGAUUCUGAUGCGAUGCGAUGAUCUUUCAGUUCUCUUCCUGUCAAGGUGCUUCAAAGAUGAACCAGUGCCGAAUGAUGACCAUUUAGUACAUCUAAAUGGGUUCCAAAAUUUACAAAUUCUCACUCUGGGUGGAUGCGAACUCAAAGGUGAAGUGCCUUCUUGGAUUGAAAGAUUAAAGAAACUCAAAGUGCUGAAUCUGUCUUACAAUAAAAUUACAGGCACAAUCCCAAAAUGGUUGGGGAGUAUGCCAAGCCUGUUUGUACUAAACAUCACUCGAAAUCACCUCACCGGAGAACUUCCUCGUGAAAUUGGCAACCUUAAAGCUUUAGUUUCAGAUGACACAGACCCAAACUUGAGUAACUUAGCACUGCCUUUCUUAUUCGACAGUCUCCAGUACAAUCGACUAUUCAACUUGCCGAGGGAAUCAAAGUUGGGAAUAACAGUCUGAGUGGGAAUAUUCCAGCAGAAUUAGGAAACUUGAGACUUCUUAGAGAAUUGGAUCUCAACGAUAACGACUUCAAUGGCAGCAUUCCAAGUGAAUUGUCCCGUCUUGUCAAUUUAGAGAAAUUGGACACGUCAGGGAACCAUCUCACCGGAGAGAUCCCGGAAUCGAUAAAAAAAACUCUAUUUCUUAUCUUUUUUAACUGUGGCAAACAAUGAUUUAGAAGGAGAGAUUCCGAAGGGUGGUCAGUUUGAUACAUUCACAAACGCUUCAUUUGAAGGGAAUCCUAAACUUUGUGGGUCAUUACUGCAAAAAAGUUACCCACAACCAAGCGCCGGAGGUCAAGAUGAAACAUUAUUGUGGAAAAGUCUAUCGUAACGUUGAAAUAUAACAUUAUUGUGGAAAAUUUGUACUUUUCGUCUUUGAUAUUUGUAAUUUGUUCUUAAUGAUAUUUUUUUAGCAUUGGACAUUCUCAA